Long non-coding RNA from Conger conger (European conger), 467 nucleotides. RefSeq lists it as uncharacterized. The record is from RefSeq and is a predicted model, not a curated record. The transcript is spliced from 3 exons. Lineage: Eukaryota; Metazoa; Chordata; Actinopteri; Anguilliformes; Congridae.
CUCACUGGAUUAUUUUUACUUGUGCAAAUUCUAGAGACUACUGUGCAUGAAAAUCCUGAGAGAUCAGCAUUUUCUGAGAUACUCAAACCAUCCUGUCUGCCACCGACAAUCAUUCCAUGUCCAAAGCUCCUGACCUGUAUCUACAUGAUUGUAUGCAUUGCAUUGCUGAUGUGUGUUGAGCAUCCUGGUGCAAAAUGGCUGGGGUUGUAUCACCAAGGUGGGUGCUACACAUUGGUUGUGAUUAAGAUUCACAGCUCUGUUGUGGCAAGCCAAGUGAUUGUGUCAUCGUCCAGGUUGAUCAGGCUGUGUUCCCCAUGUGGUGGUCGAUGCUUGGGACAGCUGGCCAUGAUGUGUUCUACCGUGUGAUUGAGUCUCCAUAGUCACAGGAGGUGCUGUCCAUCAGACCCCAUUUAGCAGAUAGCAAAGACUUGAUAUCUGUGGUGUUACUCAGUAGACAGUACUAAAUA